Molecule: ribosomal RNA, 810 nt
Filed under: uncultured haloarchaeon
Lineage: Archaea; Methanobacteriati; Methanobacteriota; Halobacteria; Halobacteriales; Halobacteriaceae
Description: bacterial SSU rRNA
Rfam family: Archaeal small subunit ribosomal RNA
Source: RNAcentral
UAGCCAUGCUAGUCGUACGAGUUCAUACUCGUGGCAUAUAGCUCAGUAACACGUGGCCAAACUACCCUAUGGACAGCGAUACUCUCGGGAAACUGAGGCUAAUCGCUGAUACAGCUUCCAUGCUGGAACUGCAGGAAGCUGGAAACGCCCCGGCGCCAUAGGAUGUGGCUGCGGCCGAUUAGGUAGGCGGUGGGGUAACGGCCCACCGUGCCAGUAAUCGGUACGGGUGAUGAGAGUCAGCGCCCGGAGACGGUAUCUGAGACAAGAUACCGGGCCCUACGGGGCGCAGCAGGCGCGAAACCUUUACACUGCACGCCAGUGCGAUAAGGGAAUCCCAAGUGCACAGGCAUAGAGCCUGUGCUUUUCUGAACCGUAGGGAGGUUCAGGAACAAGGGCUGGGCAAGACCGGUGCCAGCCGCCGCGGUAAUACCGGCAGCCCAAGUGAUGGCCGAUUUUAUUGGGCCUAAAGCGUCCGUAGCUGGCCGCGCAAGUCUAUCGGGAAAUCUAUCCGCUCAACGGAUAGACGCCCGGUGGAAACUGCGUGGCUUGGGACCGGAAGGCGCGAAGGGUACGUCCGGGGUAGGAGUGAAAUCCAGUAAUCCUGGACGGACCGCCGAUGGCGAAAGCACUUCGCGAGGACGGAUCCGACAGUGAGGGACGAAAGCUAGGGUCUCGAACCGGAUUAGAUACCCGGGUAGUCCUAGCCGUAAACGAUGCCUGUUAGGUGUGGCUCCCACUACGAGUGGGUGCUGUGCCGUAGGGAAGCCGCUAAACAGGCCGCCUGGGAAGUACGUCCGCAAGGUAGAAAUC